GAUGAACGCUGGCGGCGUGCCUAAUACAUGCAAGUCGAGCGAACGGACGAGAAGCUUGCUUCUCUGAUGUUAGCGGCGGACGGGUGAGUAACACGUGGAUAACCUACCUAUAAGACUGGGAUAACUUCGGGAAACCGGAGCUAAUACCGGAUAAUAUUUUGAACCGCAUGGUUCAAAAGUGAAAGACGGUCUUGCUGCCACUUAUAGAUGGAUCCGCGCCGCAUUAGCUAGUUGGUAAGGUAACGGCUUACCAAGGCAACGAUGCAUAGCCGACCUGAGAGGGUGAUCGGCCACACUGGAACUGAGACACGGUCCAGACUCCUACGGGAGGCAGCAGUAGGGAAUCUUCCGCAAUGGGCGAAAGCCUGACGGAGCAACGCCGCGUGAGUGAUGAAGGUCUUCGGAUCGUAAAACUCUGUUAUUAGGGAAGAACAUAUGUGUAAGUAACUGUGCACAUCUUGACGGUACCUAAUCAGAAAGCCACGGCUAACUACGUGC
Molecule: ribosomal RNA, 498 nt
Filed under: uncultured bacterium
Lineage: Bacteria
Description: partial 16S ribosomal RNA
Rfam family: Bacterial small subunit ribosomal RNA
Source: RNAcentral